UCCCAGUGCUUGACUUCCCAGUCUGUCAGGGA
This 32-nucleotide non-coding RNA is filed under the name Homo sapiens (human). Lineage: Eukaryota; Metazoa; Chordata; Mammalia; Primates; Hominidae. The record is from RNAcentral.